GUAUUGCUGAAGAGUCCCGAAGUAAGACGAAACAGCUGUCUAGUAC
RNAcentral lists this non-coding RNA (46 nucleotides) under Trichobilharzia regenti. Lineage: Eukaryota; Metazoa; Platyhelminthes; Trematoda; Strigeidida; Schistosomatidae. The record is from RNAcentral.